AGUGGCGGACGGGUGAGUAACACGUAAGCAAUCUGCCUUUCAGUUGGGGAUAGCCCUGCCAACGCGGGGGUAAUACCGAAUAGGAUUCGGGAGUCGCAUGACUUCUGGACGAAAGAUGGUUUCAUCGCUGGAAGAUGAGCUUGCGUCUGAUUAGCUAGUUGGCGGGGUAAUGGCCCACCAAGGCGACGAUCAGUAGCCGGCCUGAGAGGGUGAACGGCCACAUUGGGACUGAGAUACGGCCCAGACUCCUACGGGAGGCAGCAGUAGGGAAUUUUGCGCAAUGGACGAAAGUCUGACGCAGCAACGCCGCGUGAGUGAUGAAGGCCUUCGGGUUGUAAAGCUCUGUCGGAAGGGAAGAAACUACCGGUUUAAUACUCCGGUACUGACGGUACCUUUAAAGGAAGCACCGGCUAACUCUGUGCCAGCAGCCGCGGUAAUACAGAGGGUGCUAGUGUUGUUCGGAUUUAUUGGGCGUAAAGGGAGUGUAGGUGGGGGCUAAAGUCAGUGGUGAAAAUUCGGGGCUUAACCCUGAACCUGCCAUUGAUACUGAGUCUCUUGAGUAUGGAAGAGGGCGAUGGAAUUCCUGGUGUAGCGGUGGAAUGCGUAGAUAUCAGGAGGAACACCGAUUGCGAAGGCAGUCGCCUGGGACAAUACUGACACUGAAACUCGAAAGCGUGGGGAGCAAACAGGAUUAGAUGCCCUGGUAGUCCACGCCCUAAACUGUGGAUACUAGAUAUUGGGAGAAUUUUACUCUCAGUGUCGUAGCUAACGCGUUAA
This 777-nucleotide ribosomal RNA is filed under the name uncultured bacterium. RNAcentral describes it as "bacterial SSU rRNA". It matches the Rfam family "Bacterial small subunit ribosomal RNA", at positions 94 to 863 of the family's 1533-position model. The record is from RNAcentral.